CCCCCCUCCCGCGCCACCGCCGUUCCCGAGGAUUGUCCUUGUCCCUGGAAUUUCGGGAAUGCCGGGAGGCUCCUGCGGCCUUGGGUGGCGUUUGGAGGCCACCGCGGGAGGAGCAGGGAGAUCGGGGACGGGGACACGGGACAGGGACGGGGACACGGGACAGGGACAGGGACACGGGGACAGGGACAUGGGGACAUUUGGGGGACACGGGGACAGUUGGGGACAUUGGGGACAGUUGGGGGACACGGGGACAUUUGGGGGACACGGGGACAGUUGGGGACAUUUGGGGGACACGGGGACAGUUGGGGGACACGGGGACAUGGGGGACACGGGGACAGUUGGGGACAUUUGGGGGACACGGGGACAUUUGGGGGACAUUUGGGGGACACGAAGGCGCUGCCACCUCUGAGUCAACAGGAUGUGUCACCCCACCCCCCCCCCCACCGGACGUGGCCCGGUGCCAGCGUCCCCUCGUGUCACUGUCACCUCCUGCCAGCGGCCCCUGUCCCCUUUGGCGUCCUCUUGAUCCCCGCUGUGUCACCCCUGUGUCCCCUGGGUGUCCCCCCAUGUCCCCUGGGUGUCACCCCUGUGUCCCCUGGGUGUCCUCCUUGUGUCCCUCUGUCCCCUGGGUGUCCCCCUGUCCCCUGGGUGUCCCCUGGGUGUCCCCCUGUCCCCUGGGUGUCCCCCCAUGUCCCCUGGGUGUCACCCCUGUGUCCCCUGGGGUGUUCCCGGGGUGUCCCCUGGGUGUCUCCCUGUCCCUUGAGGUGUCCUCCUUGUGUCCCUCUGUCCCUUGGGUGUCCCCUGGGUGUCCCCCUGUGUCCCCUGGGUGUCUCUCUGUCCCCUGGGGUGUCCCCCUGUCCCCUUGGUGUCCCCUGGGUGUCCCCCUGUGUCCCCUGGAUGUCCCCCUGUCCCUUGGGGUGUCCUCCCUGUCCCCUGGGUGUCCCCCUGGGUGUCCUCCUUGUGUCCCUCUGUCCCUUGGGUGUCCCCUGGAUGUCCCCCUGUCCCUUGGGGUGUCCUCCCUGUCCCGGGGUGUCCCCCUGUCCCCCCCCAGCCCCAUUCGUGGCCUGUCCCCGCCUCUGUCCCCUCCUUGUCCCCUCCUGUCGCCUCCUGGGCGUGCCAGGAAGCGGCUCCGCACCAGCGAUUCCCGGAAUUGGCCCCUUAACUUGGAAAACCGGGGAAAAAAAAAACAAAAAACAAAAAAAACGGGAAAAACACCCAGAAAUCGCCGGGAUCGGGAUGGGCACGGCCGGGAGACCCCCCCCCCCCCCCCCCCCCCCCCCCAAAAAUAAAACCAGGAGGAGGAGGAGGAGGGAGGUGCGGAAUUCCAGCGGGUUUUGCCACCCGGGAAGGUCCCAGUUCCUCCCAGUUCCUCCCAGUUCCCCCCCAACCCCUCCAGUUCAUUCCCCCACCCCUCAAAAUUCCCAAUUUCCCGAUUUUUUUUUUCCUGGGAUAUCCCCCCCCAAAAAAAACCUGCACCAGCACCCUCGUGACCCCAAGAGGGACACGAAAAUUCCCUUCGGGAUCCCCAAAUUCCCCCAAA
This 1540-nucleotide long non-coding RNA is filed under the name Chloebia gouldiae (Gouldian finch). Its description in RNAcentral is "Erythrura gouldiae (Gouldian finch) lncRNA (ENSEGOG00005010765.1)". The record is from RNAcentral. Lineage: Eukaryota; Metazoa; Chordata; Aves; Passeriformes; Passeridae.